GAUGAACGCUGGCGGCGUGCUUAACACAUGCAAGUCGAGCGAAGCGCUUAAGUUUGAUUCUUCGGAUGAAGACUUUUGUGACUGAGCGGCGACGGGUGAGUAACGCGUGGUAACCUGCCUCACACUGGGGGAUAACAGUCAGAAAUGACUGCUAAUACCGCAUAAGCGCACAGCAUCGCAUGAUGCAGUGUGAAAAACUCCGGUGGUGUGAGAUGGACCCGCGUUGGAUUAGCUAGUUGGCAGGGCAGCGGCCUACCAAGGCGACGAUCCAUAGCCGGCCUGAGAGGGUGAACGGCCACAUUGGGACUGAGACACGGCCCAG
This 322-nucleotide ribosomal RNA is filed under the name uncultured bacterium. Its description in RNAcentral is "bacterial SSU rRNA". It matches the Rfam family "Bacterial small subunit ribosomal RNA", at positions 28 to 334 of the family's 1533-position model. The record is from RNAcentral.